AGCGGGAUAUAGCAGCUUGGUAGCUAAUAAGGCUCAUAACCUUGAAGUCGUGGGUUCAAAUCCCAUUCCCGCAA
RNAcentral lists this transfer RNA (74 nucleotides) under Epipogium roseum. RNAcentral's name for it is "tRNA-Met". It matches the Rfam family "tRNA". Rfam says of the family: Transfer RNA (tRNA) molecules are approximately 80 nucleotides in length. Lineage: Eukaryota; Viridiplantae; Streptophyta; Magnoliopsida; Asparagales; Orchidaceae. The record is from RNAcentral.